GCGAGCAUAGCCAAGCGGUCAAAGGCGACGGUCUGCAAAACCGUUAAUCAUCGGUUCAAAUCCGAUUGCUCGCUCCA
Molecule: transfer RNA, 77 nt
Filed under: Acidobacteriota bacterium
Lineage: Bacteria; Pseudomonadati; Acidobacteriota
Also listed under: 1 other name
Description: Acidobacteria bacterium (soil metagenome) tRNA-Cys
Rfam family: tRNA
About the family: Transfer RNA (tRNA) molecules are approximately 80 nucleotides in length. Their secondary structure includes four short double-helical elements and three loops (D, anti-codon, and T loops).
Source: RNAcentral